UACGGAGGGUGCAAGCGUUAUCCGGAAUCACUGGGUUUAAAGGGUGCGUAGGCGGCUUGGUAAGUCAGAGGUGAAAGCUUCCCGCUUAACGGGAGAACUGCCUUUGAUACUGCCAGGCUUGAAUCGGCGCGAGGCAGGCGGAAUGUGACAUGUAGCGGUGAAAUGCUUAGAUAUGUCAGAGAACACCGAUUGCGAAGGCAGCCUGCCAGAGCCGAAUUGACGCUGAGGCACGAAAGAGUGGGGAGCGAACAGG
This 253-nucleotide ribosomal RNA is filed under the name uncultured bacterium. Its description in RNAcentral is "partial 16S ribosomal RNA". It matches the Rfam family "Bacterial small subunit ribosomal RNA", at positions 524 to 776 of the family's 1533-position model. The record is from RNAcentral.